UACGUAGGGACCAAGCGUUGUUCGGAUUUACUGGGCGUAAAGGGCGCGUAGGCGGCGUGACAAGUCACUUGUGAAAUCUCCGGGCUUAACUCGGAACGGUCAAGUGAUACUGUCGUGCUAGAGUGCGGAAGGGGCAACUGGAAUUCUUGGUGUAGCGGUGAAAUGCGUAGAUAUCAAGAGGAACACCUGGCGGCGAAGGCGGGUUGCUGGGCCGACACUGACGCUGGAGGCGCGAAAGCCUAGGGGAGCGAACGGG
This 256-nucleotide ribosomal RNA is filed under the name uncultured bacterium. RNAcentral's name for it is "partial 16S ribosomal RNA". It matches the Rfam family "Bacterial small subunit ribosomal RNA", at positions 524 to 776 of the family's 1533-position model. The record is from RNAcentral.